GCGUUCACACCAUUUCCAUAGCAGUGCCCAGAGAAUCAAAGCCUUCCAUUAAUGUCGUCCGAAAUAAGAUCUAAACAGGACAUCUUGGGCAUAUGAAUUAAAUUAGUGCUCAGCACUACACUUUGCUUUCCUAGAGGGGACAUUCUACAAAUUGCUCUUCAAAUCCCACAUCAGAAACUAAAGAGCUCAUCAGACCUUCGUCUGAAAUGUAAUUGUGCUGAGAGCCAGGUGUGGUCAAAGGCGCAGGCUAGGAAAAGAGGCAGCUGAAAACACCCUAACUAAAAUGGGCGAGCUCCGUCAGACUUUUACACCGACUUCCAGUAAAAUAUUUACUGAAGACAUGGAGUCAAAUCUUGAUAAAAAUCAAGGUCUGAAAUGAGAAGACUGAUCGUUGUAAUUGCCAAAGACAUUAUAGCUUCUGCCGGCUCCGAAGUUGCUUCCAUCAUUACUGAAUCGGUUAUGGCUGUCCCCAUUGCCACUAUAUCCACCACCUGGACUGCCACCAAAGCCACCUCACCAGUGAAAGUUCCUCCAUGACCAAAGUUGUUGUUCCCAUUAAAACCACUUCCAUGACCACCACUGAAGUUUCCAGAAUCACUUAGACAUCUUUAGCUGGAUGAAGCACUCGCCAUCUCUUGCUCAGAUAGGGCUUUCCUUACUUCAUAGUUGUGGGCAUUCACAGCAUGGUAUUUUUUUAUUACUUUGAGAGAGAGUACAUGCAGGGAAGGGACAGGGAGAGAGAGAGAGAGAG
Molecule: long non-coding RNA, 751 nt
Organism: Suricata suricatta (meerkat)
Lineage: Eukaryota; Metazoa; Chordata; Mammalia; Carnivora; Herpestidae
Exons: 4
Source: RefSeq, a predicted model, not a curated record